UGAUUUUCUUAUCUCUCCGUGUGCGGGC
RNAcentral lists this small RNA (28 nucleotides) under Bombyx mori (domestic silkworm). Its description in RNAcentral is "ovarian small RNA-33220". Lineage: Eukaryota; Metazoa; Arthropoda; Insecta; Lepidoptera; Bombycidae. The record is from RNAcentral.